RNAcentral lists this unclassified non-coding RNA (265 nucleotides) under Cladophialophora sp. RNAcentral describes it as "partial contains 5.8S ribosomal RNA, internal transcribed spacer 2, and large subunit ribosomal RNA". The record is from RNAcentral. Lineage: Eukaryota; Fungi; Ascomycota; Eurotiomycetes; Chaetothyriales; Herpotrichiellaceae.
CGCACAUUGCGCCCUUUGGUAUUCCGAAGGGCAUGCCUGUUCGAGCGUCAUUAUCACCCCUCAAGCCCCGUGCUUGGCGUUGGACGGCCGGUCGAGCGAUCGACCCCUCCGAAAGACAAUGACGGCGGCCUGUGGUUCCCCCGGUACACUGAGCUUUUCACGGAGCACGUAUCGGACAAGGGCGCCCGGGACCCGGUCUUCUCCUCUCAGCAGGAAACUUCUCAAGGUUGACCUCGGAUCAGGUAGGAAUACGCGCUGAACUUAA